This 897-nucleotide ribosomal RNA is filed under the name Triticum aestivum (bread wheat). RNAcentral's name for it is "partial small subunit ribosomal RNA". Lineage: Eukaryota; Viridiplantae; Streptophyta; Magnoliopsida; Poales; Poaceae. The record is from RNAcentral.
GGAAGAGCGGGCAAUUACAACACCAACGAUGACAAGUUACUAUGCAAUACUUAUUCGCAAGUGUCGAGGGAUCCAUUCGUUGGAGGUGAUCAAAGUAGAGAUGCGUAUUGGGGGCGAAUGAAAGAAUACUUUGAUGCUCACAACGUGAGUGGAAUUGACCGUUCCGGGAGAUCACUUCGGUCCCGAUGGUCGACAAUCAACUCGGAUUGUCAAAAGUGGGCGGCCGCACAAAAGGCAGUUGACAAGAUUAACCCAAGUGGCACAAAUGAGGAUGAUAGAAACUUGUUCAAAGAAGAGACGAGGACAACCAAGAAGGGGAAGAUCAAGAAAGGAAGGAUCUUUACCUUGCCUCAUUGCUAUGAAGUGUUAAAGGAUGAUGAGAAAUGGAAGAAGCGUGAUGGUUUGGAUGAUUUGCAUUUGAGCAACAAACGCAAGCGAACAAUUGAGUUGAAUGAGGAGGAGGAGGAGGAGGAUGAUGCAUCAAGUGAUGACGGCAAGAGAAGCCUCACACCCAACUCGGUUUCAUACUCGAAGCCAAAACGACCGGAUGGGUGCAAGAAAGACAAAACCGAAAAGAAGAAGAGGAAAGGAGAUGAUGAGCUCAAAAUUGCUAUGAAAGCUAUUGUGAAGGCAAGAAAAGAAGCCAACAAGGUGAGGAAAAUGGUAAGGAACCAAGAUGCUGCGGCCGAGGAGAGGAGGUUGGCGGCCGAGGAGAGGAGGGUGGCCGCCGAGGAGAGGAAAGUGGCAUUGGAGGAGACGAAGGUGUGCAUGGAGGAGCGAUCUAGGUUGUUGGAAUGGGAGAAACACUUGUUCUUCUUGGACACAUCUUUGUUCAAUGAUGCGCAAAAAGAAUAUGUCAACUUUGCCCGUGAAGAAGUCUUGAUCCAAAAAAGAGCC